CACGUAGGGGGCAAGCGUUGUCCGGAAUUAUUGGGCGUAAAGAGCUCGUAGGCGGUCUGUCGCGUCUGCUGUGAAAACUCGGGGCUUAACCCCGGGCCUGCAGUGGGUACGGGCAGACUAGAGUGCGGUAGGGGAGACUGGAAUUCCUGGUGUAGCGGUGAAAUGCGCAGAUAUCAGGAGGAACACCGGUGGCGAAGGCGGGUCUCUGGGCCGUAACUGACGCUGAGGAGCGAAAGCAUGGGGAGCGAACAGG
This 253-nucleotide ribosomal RNA is filed under the name uncultured bacterium. RNAcentral describes it as "partial 16S ribosomal RNA". It matches the Rfam family "Bacterial small subunit ribosomal RNA", at positions 524 to 776 of the family's 1533-position model. The record is from RNAcentral.